AGAAGGCUCGGGGUAGGGUUCGACCCACCUGACCAAUUUAUUUAAAACGGUCCACAUUUUCUAACCUGAGCCUGAACCCCUGCCUUUAGCGGACGCUAAUGGUUUAAAACCCCUGUUUUACGUGGUGAGUAAAACACCCAGGAUCUGAGGGGGCCCACCAGAUUGUAUACAUGAAAUCCAAUCCGUCCAUCAAAGGGUAACCUUUAUUCACCGUAUGUGCAUGAAUAGUAGCCUGAUUUCUUCAACGGCAGAGCGCAAAACACCCAAGCUUGUGGGGCGCGCCAUUGCAUAUGUAAAAUCCUUUCCGUCCAUCAUGUUCUAUACCUAAUUCUAGGGCCUCGAGAGGAAAACGAUAAGGAUCCAAUAAUCAUUUGGGCCACACCACAAGGAACAAUGGAUAUGGGAUGCCAACCAUAGGUUUUGUAUCUUGCCACCUUGGUGUGUAUCUUGAUCAGACACGAUGAUCAGGUGUAAAUCAAACGGAGGAAGUGAAAACAUGAAAAUAAUCCUGAUCCAAUAAUUAGGUGGGCCACACCGGGUGAACUUAAGAGUUUUUUUUUAUAGCAGUUUUACAUUGUUCCCAUUGGUGUAGCCCAUCAGAGAUAUUUUAUAAGCUGAUAUUUUGUAUAUACGGUUCAAAUAAUGAUUUUCACCUGAUGGACGGAUUGGAUUUAGAUAUAAUACUUGGUGGUCCAACGUGGGUGUUUUACGCAGCUAGAAAGGGAUGUAGACAAUUCGGAGGCGGAUUAGGUACAGCCCCGGCCUCAGUCAAGACGGUGCGUCCCUUACAGUGUGGUCCAUAUUGAUGUAUUCGUUCUACAUCCAAUCCGUCCAUCCGUUUUUUCAGAACAUUUUAAGAAGAGAAUUAACAAUGAAGCAGAUCCAAAUCUCAGAUGGACCAUAAUAUAGGAAAAAGUGGUGAUUGAACAUCUCACCAUUAAAAACUUCAUAGGGCCUAUCUUAAUAUUUUAAUAAUGUUUAGUUUCCAUCCAAACUGUUGAUAAGGUUACAAAAACAUGGAUGAAGGGGAAUAAAAAAAUCAGCUUGAUCCAAAACUUUUGUGGCCCGUAGAAAGUUGUCAAUGGUCAAUUUCCACUUUUUUCAAUUGUAUGGUCUAUCUGAUUUAUUUUUUGUCUCAUAAUCUAAAAUAAUAUAGAAAAACGGAUGGACGGUGUGGAUAUAGAAUACAUGCACCAAGGUGAGCCCCUCUGUAAGGGCUGCACCGUCUUGAGUAGGCCGGCGCUGCACCUAACCCGCUUGCAGACGAUUCCGUUCCAUUUCUCCAUUAGACGGAAGCGGAAGAAAAUAGGAAAACACAGAAAGCAUUUUCUCUUUCUAGGUUUUCUGCAACUCCCCUCUUCAAAUUUUCCUAGGGUUUCAGAGAGAGAGAGAGAGAGAGAGAGAGAGAUGGCAGCAGCAGGAGGAUCUGGGCUGUUCAAGUUCCUGAGGCCAGGGCUCCGUCCUCAAUCGACGGACAUCACGGCAGCCAUCACAUGGGGCGUUGCUGCGACCACCACUGCUCUCUGGCUCAUUCAGCCGUUCGAUUGGUUGAAGAAACAGUUUGAGAAACCUGAGCCGGAGCAGUAGAAACCAAUCCCAAAACAGAAUCAUGGUGAACAUUUCCCAGCAUGUUUCUGAUGGGUUGAAGAUCAAUAAACCCAGAAUAAUGUCAUGUAGUUGCUGGCUUUUGAUUUUGGUUUAUGAAAGAAUGAAUGUUUUUUUGCUGGUAGUUGCAUUCUGAGGCCUCUUGUGAUAACUACCAAAACUAUGGGUUGAGUGAAAAUCGACUUUGUUUCUGCAUAA
Molecule: long non-coding RNA, 1803 nt
Organism: Magnolia sinica
Lineage: Eukaryota; Viridiplantae; Streptophyta; Magnoliopsida; Magnoliales; Magnoliaceae
Exons: 2
Source: RefSeq, a predicted model, not a curated record